CCUACGGGUGGCAGCAGUGGGGAAUAUUGCACAAUGGGGGAAACCCUGAUGCAGCGACGCCGCGUGAGUGAAGAAGUAUUUCGGUAUGUACAGCUCUAUCAGCAGGGAAGAAAAUGACGGUAACUGAUUAAGAAGCCCCGGCGAACUACGUGCCAGCAGCCGCGGUAAUACGUAGGGGGCCAGCGUUAUCCGGAUUUACUGGGUGUAAAGGGAGCGUAGACGGGGAUGCAAGUAAGAAGUGAAGGCCCGGGGCUCAACUGCGGGACUGCUUUUGAAACUGUGUGACUGGAGUGCAGGAGAGGUAAGCGGAAGUCCGGGUGUAGCGGUGAAAUGCGGAGAUAUCAGGAGGAACACCAGUGGCGAAGGCGGCUUACUGGACUGUAACUGACGUUGAGGCUCGAAAGCGUGGGGAGCAAACAGGAGUAGAUACCCCUGUAGUC
RNAcentral lists this ribosomal RNA (440 nucleotides) under uncultured bacterium. RNAcentral's name for it is "partial 16S ribosomal RNA". It matches the Rfam family "Bacterial small subunit ribosomal RNA", at positions 338 to 795 of the family's 1533-position model. The record is from RNAcentral.